UCCCCAACAAUACCUGAAGGACUCUCUCUCAUUUUGGAAAAACAUUCAGGCCUCAUCACAAAAUAUAGAGGCUUAGUGCAAGGUUUUAAGUCAGAUGCUGAAUGAGAUCGCAAACAACCAGAGGCCUCAAAAGGAUUGCAAAGAUGUUGUCAUUGAAAGUGACAAAGUUCUAGAUGAGGAAAGAUAAAAGGAAUAAAAGAGAGAGGAUGAGAGAAAAAUAGAGAGAAAAGGAGAAGAGAGUUUGAGUGAUGAGGAGCAAGAAGAAGAGAAAGAGAAAGAGAUAAAAGUAGAGAGAGAGAAGAAAAAUAAAGUUUUUUGAGUGAAGAAGAGAAAGUGGUAAAAAAGGAAGAAGUAGAGAGAGAAAAGAAAAGUCAUGUGUGCCUUAAAGCAUAUCCUAAGGAAAAGAAAAAGGGGAACGAUGGAAACAAAAAGAAAGAAUCAUAUGAAAACCCCCCUCCUCACCCAAAGAAGGAUCAUAGGAAGAAAAAGGAAAAAUAAUUUGAGUAUUUCAUGGAAAUCUUCAAGAAAUUGGAGAUUAAAGUUCCCAUGAUUGGGACACUACAACAGGUUCCUGGUUAUAUUAAGUUCCUAAAAAAAUUCAACCAAAAGAAAAAAAUAUCUUGAAUCCAGUUUCUGAAUUUUUUAUCUUUUAUUUUGUUUUAUUUUAUUUUAUUUUAUUUUAUUUCUUUUAUUUGAUUUUAUUUUUUUUAGUGAUUUUAUUUAAUUUUAUUUGAUUUACUUAUGUUUUAUUUUAUUUGAUUUGAUUUUAUUUUAUUUUAUUUUAUUUGAUUUUAUUUUAUUUUAUUUUAUUUUAUUUCAUUUGGUCUUAUUUGAUUUGAUAUGAUCUUUUAUUUUAUUUUAUUUUUUUAUGUGAUUUUAUUUAAUUUAAUUUGAUUUUAUUUUAUUUCAUUUCAUUUAAUUUGAUUUUAUUUUAUUUUAUUUGAUUUUAUUUGAUUUUAUUUCAUCUUAUUUUAUUUUAUUUCAUUUCAUCUUAUUUGAUUUGAUUUCGUUUUAUUUUAUUUUAUUUUAUUUAUUUUAUUUUAUUAUCUUUUAUUUUGUUUAUUUUAUUUUAUUUUAUAUUAUUUCUUUUGAUUUUAUUUUUUUAUGUGAUUUUAUUUAAUUUGAUUUGAUUUGAUUUUGUUUUAUUUUAUUUCAUUUUAUUUGAUUUGAUUUUAUUUUAUUUUAUUUUAUUUGAUUUUGAUUUUAUUUUAUUUUAUCUAAUUUUAUUUUAUUUCAUUUGAUCUUAUUUGAUUUGAUUUGAUCUGAUCUUUUAUUUGAUUUUAUUUUUUUAUGUGAUUUUAUUUAAUUUGAUUUUAUUUUAUUUUAUUUUAUUUUAUUUCAUCUUAUUUUAUUUUAUUUCAUUUGAUCUUAUUUGAUUUCAUUUCAUUUUGUUUUGUUUUAUUUUAUUUUGUUUUGUUUUGUUAUACUUUAUUUUAUUUUUAUUUUUAUGUUUUUUUUCUCUUUUCUUCUUUUAUUUUAUUAUUUGUGUGAUUUUCAUUUGAUU
RNAcentral lists this long non-coding RNA (1504 nucleotides) under Vigna radiata. Its description in RNAcentral is "long non-coding RNA (VRAD_LNC015275)". The record is from RNAcentral. Lineage: Eukaryota; Viridiplantae; Streptophyta; Magnoliopsida; Fabales; Fabaceae.